CCUACGGGAGGCAGCAGUGAGGAAUAUUGGUCAAUGGACGAGAGUCUGAACCAGCCAAGUAGCGUGAAGGAUGACUGCCCUAUGGGUUGUAAACUUAUUUUAUAUGGGAAUAAAAUGUUCCACGUGUGGGAUUUUGUAUGUACCAUAUGAAUAAGGAUCGGCUAACUCCGUGCCAGCAGCCGCGGUAAUACGGGGGAUCCGAGCGUUAUCCGGAUUUAUUUGGUUUAAAGGGAGCGUAGGUGGAUUGUUAAGUCAGUUGUGAAAGUUUGCGGCUCAACCGUAAAAUUGCAGUUGAAACUGGCAGUCUUGAGUACAGUAGAGGUGGGCGGAAUUCGUGGUGUAGCGGUGAAAUGCUUAGAUAUCACGAAGAACUCCGAUUGCGAAGACAGCUCACUGGACUGCAACUGACACUGAGGCUCGAAAGUGUGGGUAUCAAACAGGAUUAGAUACCCCAGUAGUC
Molecule: ribosomal RNA, 460 nt
Filed under: uncultured bacterium
Lineage: Bacteria
Description: partial 16S ribosomal RNA
Rfam family: Bacterial small subunit ribosomal RNA
Source: RNAcentral